This 9686-nucleotide long non-coding RNA is filed under the name Heterocephalus glaber (naked mole-rat). Its description in RNAcentral is "lncRNA (ENSHGLG00000047760.1)". The record is from RNAcentral. Lineage: Eukaryota; Metazoa; Chordata; Mammalia; Rodentia; Bathyergidae.
CCUAGGGGAGCCAGUAAAGAUUAAAUGUGCUUUCUAAAGGCAGCCACUUCAUGCUGCUAUGUUGAAAGGGCCAGUGUUAUUAUUAUUAUUUUUAAUAGUAAAAGAAAAGGAGGGGGAGAGACAGAGAGGGAGGGGGGAGGGAGAGAGAGGGAGAGGGGCUAGGUAUGAUCAUGACGGACUGGCUUCUCUGAGAGGAAAAGGAAGAGGGAAAGGAAAGAAAAAGGAAGGACCCUAAGCUGAACGAAGGAUUGUGCAUGAGAAGAACCUACAGAGGUGAGGAAAAAAGUUUGUGUGUGUGUGUGUGUGUGUGUGUGUGUGUGUGUGUGUGUGUGUGAGUGGUGGGGGUGCUUAACAGACCCUAUAGAGAGGGAAAAGAUAUAAUUCCGCUGUCUUGGUAGUAUGAUCCUGUUUUUCAAAGGGGGGAGGGGAAGUGGAAGAACCUGGAGCUCUAACUGUUCCUAGAUGCAUAUGGAAAUAUAUUUAAAAUAUUUCACUUUUUUUUUCUUAAGUGCCAGAGGAGGCCCCCUCCAGUGUCUUCCUUAGUAUGGCUGCUUUGUCGUUCUCUUUGACUAGCCAUCCAUCUACCUUGCUCAGGCCUGGAAUGAAAUAACGGAGAAAAAAAAAAAAAUAGAGGAAGAAAAUUUUUAAAGGGAGUCAUCUUCCUUUGCACUCCUCUUUCGCUUCAUUUUUUGGAGGCAGCACAGGAAAGCAGUUUCCAGUCAGAUGAGGAAACAGGACUCUGUCAGGUAGAGAACCAGUAGAUUCUGCGAAGAUGGAGGGGAAUUAUGCUCUGUAUUCCUCUGAAAUAUUGGCCCUAGCAUCCGCAGCGGGAGGUGGGGGCUGCAUCCCCAGCGUGCACCCACCCCUUCCCUCUUUGCGUCUACGGAAUGACAGCUUGGUGCUCCUCUUGCUGCUCUGGCCUCUGCUGUAGCCAAGCAGCUGGUGCAGAGGAGGGCCCGGUUUGCAGGACCGGCAAGGUGCAUGCUAAAGAAGAAAUUUUUUAAAAGCAGCACUGAAGAGGUUUCUUGCUCUUCACCCUUUUUAAAAAAACAAAACAAAACAAAUUUUAACUGAAUAUUUUCCAAAUUUGAUCAUCCCCAGCCCCUCCCUCCACUCCCACCCAAAUGCCUGUUUCCCCCAUCUCUUCAAAGCAAAAACUACAGAGUUACAGUCUCCAGAUUUGGUGUAUCGCUUCCUGCCCCCGCCUCCCCCUCCCCGCCCGCCCCGCUCUCCGUCCUCUAUUGAAACACCUCGAGCAGCCUAGCUCUCCGAGCUCACAUUCUCCCCCUUGCUGGGAAUGGUGCUCCUGGAGGUCGUGCAGUCCCGCUCCGCUUCGAAUGGCUGGUCCUAUAGCACCCUGUUCAGGAAUGUCUCCCCAGUGAAAGGACAGAGACUACAGAGACUGCUAUGUUGAUCAACCCUCAUGCCAACUGUGAAGUUGAAACAAAGAAAGUGACAACCUGAAGAUAUCUCUCCUGUCCAGCAACAAACCCAAAAGGUGCAGUUUCAACCAUUAAAAUUCUCAGAAAAAGAGGCAAUUGUUCCAAGAAACAUAAAAACCCAGUAAUGACACCUAGAUCUCUAACAAGCCAAGAAGAACAUUCCCUUCCUUCUGUGUAUUCCUCUGUUUGUAUUUAAAUUCAUGUGACAUUAAUUUUUUUCCUAGUAUGGAGAAACUUCUUAAUGUACACAUUUUAAAAUCUAAAUUUACACAAAUGUGUUAAUAUGUUAAGGAACAAAAUUGGUGCUAUGAGGAGAAUGAUUUUUAGUCAUACACAGAGUUUAUUCUUAAGAGUAGCAUAGAGAAUUGAAGUACUUUUGAAAUGACAAAGUAGUCACUGGUAAUUUAAAGGAUAAAAGAAUGGGAGAAACUCAUGCUGGAGCUUCAAAAUACCACAUUAUUCCACCUUAUACCAGCCAGUAAACCAUUACCUUUAUCAAGCAAGCUCAGUUCUGUGAGAUAUGAUUAUUGCUUCUAAGAACUUUAAUCUAGAUAGAUAUGUAACUUUUUACAUAAACUUUUGAAAAGGUAAGUAACGGGUAGGUUCAGUAGAUAACAACAAAAAGCAAUGUAAAUGAUGAACUCAAAAGAGGUCUCAAUAAGGUGGGCAAAACUAACUUUCUUAGUGAAGGAAGUUUCCAAAAUAGGAAAGUAGGAGAUUAUUCUUGAAGGAUGUCAAAAAUAUAGAUGGUAUAAAGGUAGAAGAAAACAGAGUCCACUAGGUACACAAUAUUGUAAGCAAAACCUUGGAGAAGGAAAUCCACAUGGUAAAUUUAGGAGAGGAUGAAUGCACGUGUUGAUUUCACGUAACUCUAGGCACGCAGUACCUCUGUGUACUGGGAAAAACUUUGCACACAUACACCUCCCCUUUCAAUCCCCUCCUGCCUCCACCAAGUUUCACCUAGAAUUGUAUUUCUUUGCCAUUGUAGCACAAGAAGGUGAUUGGUGGUAAUAUGGAGAACUUGUGACUUUUCUGUUGAUAAUAAUUACUAUAUAUUGACUUCUCACUCUAUAUUAAGCAUUUUGCAGACUAACUCAAGCCUCAAGAUGAGGAUGCAAAUUAGAUAUUAUUAUCCUCAUUUUAUAGGUAAUAAAACUGAAGUUUAAUAAAAUUAUGUAACUUGACAAAAUGCCACAUAUGCUGUUCAUAUUUAGGAUUACGAUGACAAAGUUCAUGAUUUAAAGCACUAUCUCACAAUAUUGUGAUCAAUGUCAACAAUAUUGCCCUUUUUCUAUAUUCUUUGAUUGUCUAUGGCAAAUUAUUAUUAAUAUUAUUAAAUUAUCACCUAAAUCUUAUUAUUUUUCUGGAUAAAUUACAUUAGAGUGCUAGAAUGUAUUUUCAUUUAAAAAAGGAAAAAUUUGAGAAGUCGAGCUUUUCAGCACUUUAGACCUUUCUUUUCUGUUUUUGGCAAGACUUUGGUGAGACUUUCUACUUUGUUCUGCAAGAAAUCUCAAAUCUUUGAGAAUAAAAAUGGAAAAGUGUUUAUGUCACACAUUGCAAUGUCCUUUUUUACAGACAAGAUGAAUCUAUAGCCCAUAAACUUGGAGUGACUUACAGAAGUUCACAUUUGGCCCUUGCAGUAGACCAAAGACUAGAAAUAAGUCCCUUCAGUUUGGUCCACUCUCAGUGCCACUUGAACUAUGCCGCUCUGCAUAAAUGAAGCAUGAACUUGAAUUUGAUUAAAGGAAACAAUACAUCUAGGUAAUCAGGGAACAAUGUACAUAGUAGAUUGCUUCAAUUUUGUAUUUCUUUGCCAACUCACUUCAAUGUGAAGAACAGCUAGCCAUGAACUAGGAGCUUUAAACCCAUAAAUUGUCAAUCCAUCCCCCAGAAAACACAAAAUGACCAAAGUUUGUGUUUUCAAUAUUGUGUACAAUAUCUUCAAUAAUAUCAAGUUAUUUGGAAUUCUUAGUUUACUGGCACAAAUCAAAUCUUAACCAACUUUGUGCAGAGUAUACAUUUGUAAGUGGAUCUGCAUGAAUGCUUAUAGAUGACCAUUUCAAUAGUGCACUUUUAAAAAUAUCAAAUCAUUUGCUCUUAUAAUCUUCAUUUAUCCACGUAACUAAAGAAUACUUUGGCUAUGAAAAGAUAGACUUGAGAAAUCUCACUCUUCUUUACCAGCAAGUUUGCCUUUGGGCGGUGUUUAAUAAUGACUCAGAGCAUUAUUACUGCAUAGCAUAGAGAUUCAAAAUGCAAUUCUGUUUUAGAGGAACCAAUCAAGCUGGAUCUAUUUGAGGAUAGACAUCUUCAUGUUUGGAAAUACCAGAAUAUUUGGUCAUUGUAAAUGUCCACUUAGAUAUGUGGCAUUGUCACAUUUAGUUCUUUUUCCUUGUGGUGGUUAUUAUCCUGUUUACAAAAUGAUUGUUGAUCAUAUAUCAUGCCAUUCUCAUUGAGUUUAUAAAUAAAACGUUUUUUUUUAAAGGUAGUCAAGCUCAAAAUGUGACUUUGCUGACAUUUUAUGAGACUCUGUCAUAUGUCCCUAACUACCAAUAAAAAAAAAAUGCUAUAUCAACUGUGAACUUGUGUUGAUUUCUUGGGAAAAAAUGCUCUCAUAAUUUAUUUUCUUAUGUUCAUAUAUAUAUAAAUAUAUAUAUAUAUAUUUAUAUAUAUAUAUAUAUAAUUUCAGGAUCCACAAGGAGGAAAUAAUCUAAUGUGCUAAGAAAAAUUAAAUUUAGUGACAAUUUCUAAAUGAUCCCAUGUUAUCUUUAAAUAAAUAGCACUCUCAACUACCAUCUACUUAGGACAGAAAUCAAGGUGUGGUCCUUGUCUCUUCCCUUUCCACUUGCCAUGGGAGAUCAUUCAGAUAAUUCUUUUGAUAUUUUCUUCUUUCUGUUAUUCAAAUAUGUCUACUUCUUUCCAUCAUCUGUUAUAGUAAAGAUAAUGCUCAUUUCUCCCCUGGCUUGCUAUGUUUGGCCUCUAGCCACAAAUAUCACUCUGUGGUUUCAAAUUCUCCACUGCUUCCCAUUACCCUGGAGAUACCAUGAUAGAUAAAGCCAUUUAUGUCCUAAAUCCUAGACCCAGCAGUCUGCUCAUCAAUCUUCAUUCUCAUUUUUUGGUAGGUACAAACCAUCUAUCUUUGCCUUUCCCUAGCAUUCCCUGUAUAUUCUCAGCUUUCCCAUACAUAUAACCUUCUGUCUAGUACUCUCUCCAGUAGUUCCAGACUAUAUUCACAUGUCUCUCAGCCUCAUCCCAGCAUCCAUUUCCUCUUGAAAUUCUCCCCCAACUCUCUAGAAUUACCUUCUGCAUUGUAGAUGAAUCAUGAAAUUGUGUGCAUACCUCUUCAUAGGACUUACCACCAAUACAGUGAUGACUUCUGCACUGGUCUCCUCUAUUUGAAUAUGAGAUUCUAGGGUCACACUGUUUAACCUCAUAAUCACUCUCCAUAUGUGGCAAUUUCAAUUUCAAUUAAUUAGUAUUACAUAAAAUUAAUUCAGAGCUGGGUAUGGUGGUUCACACCUGUAAUUCAAGUGGCCCAGUAGGCUGAGGCAGGAGGAUUGCAAAUUUGAGGCCAGCCUGGGCAAUUUAGCAAGAUCCUACCUAAAAGAAAAAGGCCCUGGGUUCAAUUUCCAGUCACACACACACAGACACACACACACACACACCAUUUCUCAGUUGCACCAACACACUUCAAGAGCUCAGUAGCCAUGUAAAACUAGAAGCUAUCCCACAACAGCAUAGAUGCAAAACACUCUUAUGGAUACAGUUCUGUUGCAUGGUGCUGUUCUAGAAAAUAUAUUCUAUAUUUUGUCAGUCAUUUCAUCCAGAAGAUUUUAAACUCAGUUUGUCAUUUGGACCACAGGUUACAAAAGAUGAUUUGAAAGAUUAUUUUCUCAAUUAUCUCAAGGAUGAUAUUUAACAAAUACUAUACUAUAUGCAAAGGAAGAAGAUUAAUUCAUUGGAUGUAAAGAUAUCCAGGGCAUUAGGGUUUCAUUCUAGCGUAAAACUCUAGUUGAGAAUGUCUACAACAGCCAGUCAAAGGAUUUGGUACAAUAUAAUUAUCUGCUGAAUGAAUGAUACACAUAGAUUUAAUUUUAUCUAUUUCUAUCUAAAAGUGUGGACUCAUGUAGGACACGUGUCUUUAGAUUUCAAGGGGCCCCUUUUCUAGAAAAUAUUGUGAUAAAUGAUUUACUUUCCUCUCAAGGACAGAAGAAUGGUGUGACCGAUAGGAUUACCUAUUAUUUCACUUUCUAUUGAUAUUUACACAAGCAAGCAAUUGAAAAUAACUGAGCCCUCAUUCAGUAGAUGAGGUCAAAAUGAAAAUGAUCCCAUUAGAUACCAGAUUUGAUAAGCCCUAUUUAUUUCAAAAAAUGCCCAAAGUUUACUGAAAACAUUAAUUAUCUACUGAGCACCUAUUAUGUCCAGGCACGUUGUCAAGUCCUAGGGGUGUAGAAGGGAACAGGAAGGACACAGCUCUUAUAUUCAUAGUGAGUAGCAUUAAUAUAAUUAUUUUUGUUCUUCCUUGCCUGGUACCCAAAGCAGGAGUGCUCAUACUUGGCUACAUAUUCUAACCACCUAGGGAGUUUAAAAAAUACUCAUACUUGACUCUCUUCUGAAUAGAUUCUGAUUUAAUUGGUGUAGGGUGUGGCUGGGAAUUGGGAUUUUUAAGAGGUUCCUUUGAGAUUGGAAUGUGAAGCCAAAGUUAAAAACUGUUGACCUAUGGGGAUAUAAUCUUAAAAUGAUCUCAGAAAACUAAAAGCUUUUGUUAUUAAUAGUUGGUAGCAUAUUAGAACAAAAAGACUUUAAAAUCAUUUAACAUAUCUACAUUUUGCUUUCUAUUCCUCAGAAUAUAAACCAAUACUUAGUUGCUGAGUUGUCUAGGUCAAAUAGUUCAUUACUAAGAUGAGACCUAACCCUAGAUUUCUGAUUUUAACAUAAUACACUACUUGCUACACUAAACUGUCUGAGAGAAAUAGAAAAUAUAAUUAUCUUCAAAUUGAGUGACAGAAUCCACUAUGGUCAUAAUUUUUAAGAGUCUAAUUUGAGUUAAAUUCCAUAAACUCGUAUAUACAAGUAUUUCUGAUACUCAAAUAUAUGCACCAUAGAUUAAUUUCUCUAAAAUGCAUUUCUUUUAAAAAUGUGUAUUCAUAUGCAUAUAUGUACAUACAUAUAAAAAGACACAUAUAAUGCAUAUAUGUUACAUAUUAUAUUGUACAGAGGAUAACUCAGUUCCCCAGGAAUCCUAACAACGUUUUUAUAGAUUCAGACCUCAAUAUACAUAUGUUAAACUCCACACACAACUAGGAAGGAUAUCUUGCUUUAAACUUGAAUUCCUCAGUAACAAAAAUGGUUGUAGGAAGAGAAAGUAAGAGUGUACUGUGUGUUCGCAUUCUCUGUCCCCACCUACUUUAUUAUAUGACAUUCCAUUCAAUUUUACAUUUCACAAUACAGGUAAAAAUUCCAGUCUCUCUCCAUGAGAAAGAUUGACAUUAAAAACUGCUAUAGAAGUAGCUACCUUUUUAAGCUAUCACUUGUCCCAUUUUUAGAUUCUACACAUAGAUCAAAAGAAUCCAUGAACUAUGUGAGGCAUCUAAUCUACUCUUCAUCAGUAUAAGACACAUAGUGAAAAUGUGUCUUCUCACUUUUUGAAAAUCUCAAAAUAAAAUGAAUACCCACACACUUCCUUCAAAAUGCAUUUCACUGUUCGAGAGUCUAUACAGUUGGGAAAUUCUUAUUUCUAUUCCAAAUCCCUCAAGCUGUAGUUUAAUCCCAUUUUCUCUAGUUUCCCACAGAGAGAGAGAACAGCUGGCUUCCAUUCUUUUUAAACUCAAUCCCUUCAUAUCCUGAAAGACACCUACCUCUCAGCCUUCUUUUUGCUGGAAUGAAUCCUAAAAGUUCCCCUCAGUAAAAUGUCUCUUUUGGAUUCUGCAUAUUCAUUGCCAUAUCACAUAUAUUCAUGUUCAUUACAUAAUGUUCAUAUCAAGCCAAGGACAAGCACAAAAACAAGGAAACUCAUCAUUGUUUUCAUGAAUGAAAUUACAGAUCCAAUAAAAAAACACUUAAAAAUAGUUGGGAAUGAUAAUCUUCCAAAAUUAUCCUAAUUUCUUUUUUUUAAUCCUAAUUUCUUUUAGAAAGUAUUGACAAUUUGUUGCUUUUGGAGAGGAGAAUUAAAAAUUAAAUGACUGGGUUUCAAUUUUCUUUAUACAAACUUUCCCCAAGCCCUGCAAUGGAAUAUUCCACUCAGCAUUCCACAGCAGGAGCCACCAUUGCUCUGACAAAAAUAGAUACAGUAUUGGAACAUUAAGUCAAUGGAGUAAUCCAAUUGUCUGAACGUUCUUUUCUACUUUGUCAUUUAUAUUUUAAUAAAUCUCAGAAUAUGUCAAGCCCUAUCAAGUUUACCAAGUGCAGUGAACCACAUGCAGUUACCAGAUGCAUUGAGGGCAUCAUGCAACUCCUACAAAGCACCCACAUUUAGUUUGUGAGUAUUUUUAGGUUCCUACAUGUUAAAUAAGGGUGCUGUUUGAAAUUAAAAAUGAAUAUUUUGCAAAAUUUUUGCUAUAAUCAACAUUUUGUUAGCAUAUUUAGCUUUCAUAAAGAGAGCUGUAGGGAAGAGGUUGCUUUGCAUAAAUGAUCCAAGAAUUUUGGUGUCUAUUAAUCCCAAGAACAGUACUACAUAUACCAAGCAAAAAUGUGGAAUAUAUGCCUAUUUCUCUGCCAGUUAGUAAACUGGCAGUCUCUUCAUUCGGGAGACUCAGAUAAUCACAUUUUAGUUAUGUGAUGUUCACUGAUGCCAAGAUUUCAAGUAAACAAGUCCUAAUGGAGUGUGUGUGUGUGUGCACACGUGUGUGUGUGUGUGUGUGUGAUUACUAUUAACUUAGUGCAUGUAUAUAUGGGCCACCAACUCUUUCAACACUUUGAAGUUUUUGUUAUUGUGGCAUCGGAGAGCCCAGUGAAUGCUUAGGUUGGGACUGCGGUGAAAUGACAGAAUGAGCUUCAAUCUGUUGGAGAUCCCAGAGUGGUAGGUAGGUAUGUGUUUAGAAGGAAGGAAUGUCUAAAGAUGAGUCUAUUCAGGUUAGUUUGUAUUAAUAAAAAUUGCAUAAGACAUGAGGUUUAAACUUAUUUUGGGUUAUAUGCUUUGUACCUCAUAUUAACUAAGUUACUCAAAGUAGUCCAUCAGAAAACUUUUACUGUAGGUUUUUCAUCUCAAUUGUCUUAUUAUUACCCUUUUGGUAUAAUAAUUUCACAAGACCAGAGUUACUUCCUGUAAAAUAAAGCACUAGUAUCAGGUAAAUCUGACUAAUGUUAAAUGUGUGAUAAGCUCAAGGAAUAAAAAGAAUUUUGAAGGAAUUUCUUUUUUGCUAGUGUUUAGAGCUAUUCAAAUGCUGGCACAGGGAUUGUGAACAGCCCACCACUGCUACUACAUGGAGUUAGGGUUGUGUUGGGGAGAUUGAGGCACAGUUUACCUUACAGAGAUGGAGAAGACAAAAGAAAGUCAGUGAUAUUGCAAUGCACAAGUGAGACCAUCAACAUUUCCUGAUUCUCAGAGUUUUCUCUUACUGUACCCAUAGUGUGAUAACUGGUAGAUUCAGUGUAAAAGUAGGACCUAGCCAAUACUAUAAUAAUCACAAUAUGUAUGAUAUCCUAGAAAAGGACACUAUGCAGUUCCUUCCCCCACUAGGAGUAUCAUAACACUUGCAAUCAUAAAGUACUACCAUGAUUGUAGGAUGCUGAUUUAUGACUUCAGAUAACACUUAAUGAACACAAAUUAAUCAGCUAAUUAUCUCAGUCAACACUGGGGAGAAUUGGAGGAAUAUGUCAGAUUGUGAAGUUCAAGAGACACAAGCUGAGAGUUAGUGUUGUUUUCAAAUGAAAAGUCCCAUGUUCUAGAUCUAAUGCUAGUGCUGUGGUUUGUCCCCCAAGAUUUAUGUGCUCCCCAAGGCGGCACUAUUGGAAUGUGGCCUGGAACUUUUAAGAAGUAGGUUUCAUGAGUUCUUUAGGUCAACUGGGGACAUGCCCUACCUGAACCUGACCCCAUCUAGUCUCUAUGGCUUCCUGUUUUGAGAGGUGAUCUCUUCCACACUGUUUCUUCCAUUGCUAUUGGUCAUGAAGUGAUCCCACUGAGAGGGGCCCCUCCCAAGGGGAUACAACGCAGUUUGGAUUUUAACCCUCCAAAACUGUGAACUGAAAAACCUCUUUUCCUUAUAAAGUUAGCCUGCCUUGAUAUUUUGUUAUAAUAGCAAAAACCAG